RNAcentral lists this ribosomal RNA (504 nucleotides) under uncultured bacterium. Its description in RNAcentral is "partial 16S ribosomal RNA". It matches the Rfam family "Bacterial small subunit ribosomal RNA", at positions 30 to 523 of the family's 1533-position model. The record is from RNAcentral.
AUUGAACGCUGGCGGCACGCCUAACACAUGCAAGUCGAGCGGUAACAGGAUUUGUAGCAAUACAAAUUGCUGACGAGCGGCGGACGGGUGAGUAACACGUAGGAACCUACCCUUAAGCGGGGGAUAACUAAGGGAAACUUUAGCUAAUACCGCAUAUACUCGAGAGAGAAAAGCUACCCGUACGGGCGGCACUUGAGGAAGGGCCUGCGUCCGAUUAGCUAGUUGGUGAGGUAAAGGCUAACCAAGGCGAUGAACGGUAACUGCUCUGAGAGGACAGCCAGGCAAACUGGGACUGAGACACGGCCCAGACUUCUACGGGAGGCAGCAGUGGGGAAUAUUGGACAAUGGGGGCAACCCUGAGCCAGCGAUGCCGCGUGAGUGAAGAAGGCCCUCGGGUCGUAAAUCUCUUUAGGUUAGGAAGAAGGGCACUUGUUUAAUAGACAAGUUUUUUGACGGUACUAACAGAAUAAGCACCGGCAAACUCUGUGCCAGCCGCCGCCGUAA